UGAAAAACUUGGCCAAUGAUACUUCAAGCAAGGCAAGAAAGCAAUGGGAAAAAUCCUUAGAAAAUUAACACUCAGUUUUUAAAUAAAAGAACACACAGCGAGAUAGAUUAUUUUUCUAUUUAUCUGCACUGUGGUGUCAAAAACAACAGGAAAAGUCACUCCCUUGUGUCUUCAAAGCAGCACUGCUUGGCCGGCCCUGAUCCUGUGCGCGUUCCUAGAUGCUGCUUUUUGCACGUGAGAAACCCAUGUGGCCUGAUUACACACUGACAAGUAAAGUUGCUCUUAUAAUAGAGACAUAAUUAAAUAGUUGUUGAGGUGCAACCUCUGAUCCUUAAAAAUAGCCAGUAACGUUAAACUCUACUUUCAUGCAGCCAGGUAUUAAAAGAAGCGCUCAGAUUUGUUCACAGUGCUCUUGUCUGAGCAACAUUGGAGCUGUUGCUGUAGAUGACAUUUCACACAGGACUCCAAUUAGCUGAGUCCCACCCGCCUGAAGUGCAGAAUCAGACUCGGGAAGGCAGAAUGUGGCAUCAGAUCCCCCUCGCUGUGCUUGCGCUCCAGCUGCGAACGGGGGCUCUGGCAGGAGAAGACAGAGGGGGAGGAUUUUGACUUAAACCAGUGGGUAGUCUUUGGAACUGAAGACCAUUCCUCAGAGGGUGUUCAGAGGCCAGAAAGAAGGCAGAG
Tyto alba (common barn owl) is the source of this 681-nucleotide long non-coding RNA. RefSeq lists it as uncharacterized. The record is from RefSeq and is a predicted model, not a curated record. NCBI's taxonomy places the organism in Eukaryota, Metazoa, Chordata, Aves, Strigiformes, Tytonidae. The transcript is spliced from 3 exons.